RNAcentral lists this ribosomal RNA (468 nucleotides) under uncultured Comamonas sp. RNAcentral describes it as "bacterial SSU rRNA". It matches the Rfam family "Bacterial small subunit ribosomal RNA", at positions 908 to 1382 of the family's 1533-position model. The record is from RNAcentral. Lineage: Bacteria; Pseudomonadati; Pseudomonadota; Betaproteobacteria; Burkholderiales; Comamonadaceae.
AAUUGACGGGACCCGCACAAGCGGUGGAUGAUGUGGAUUAAUUCGAUGCAACGCGAAAACCUUACCCACCUUUGACAUGUACGGAAUCCUUUAGAGAUAGAGGAGUGCUCGAAAGAGAGCCGUAACACAGGUGCUGCAUGGCUGUCGUCAGCUCGUGUCGUGAGAUGUUGGGUUAAGUCCCGCAACGAGCGCAACCCUUGUCAUUAGUUGCUACGAAAGGGCACUCUAAUGAGACUGCCGGUGACAAACCGGAGGAAGGUGGGGAUGACGUCAAGUCCUCAUGGCCCUUAUAGGUGGGGCUACACACGUCAUACAAUGGCUGGUACAAAGGGUUGCCAACCCGCGAGGGGGAGCCAAUCCCAUAAAGCCAGUCGUAGUCCGGAUCGCAGUCUGCAACUCGACUGCGUGAAGUCGGAAUCGCUAGUAAUCGUGGAUCAGCAUGUCACGGUGAAUACGUUCCCGGGCCUU